Molecule: ribosomal RNA, 420 nt
Filed under: uncultured bacterium
Lineage: Bacteria
Description: bacterial SSU rRNA
Rfam family: Bacterial small subunit ribosomal RNA
Source: RNAcentral
GAGGAAUAUUGGACAAUGGAUGGAAAUCUGAUCCAGCCAUGCCGCGUGCAGGAUGACGGCCCUAUGGGUUGUAAACUGCUUUUGUAUGGGAGCAAUAAGCCCUUCGUGAAGGGUGAUGAGAGUACCAUACGAAUAAGCAUCGGCUAACUCCGUGCCAGCAGCCGCGGUAAUACGGAGGAUGCAAGCGUUAUCCGGAUUUAUUGGGUUUAAAGGGUGCGUAGGCGGUUGGAUAAGUCAGCGGUGAAAGUUUUCUGCUUAACAGGAAAAAUGCCGUUGAUACUGUCUGGCUAGAAUAUGGUUGCUGUGAGUGGAAUGUGUGGUGUAGCGGUGAAAUGCUUAGAUAUCACACAGAAUAUCGAUUGCGAAGGCAGCUCACAAAGCCAUUAUUGACGCUGAGGCACGAAAGUGUGGGGAUCAAAC